UCGAGCCGCCAUCACCACAGUCGCAACAGCGGCUAGCUACUGUAGCUCAGCGCUGUCGUUGAGGUCGGAAGUGACACCCCGUCGGUCCCGUCUCUCGGAAGAGCGUUCAUACCGGAACCCGUUAACAGCCCGAGCCCCGGCAUGUGCUCCGUCGUCGGGUGUGAGUCGGGGCGUCGCGGCGCGCAGCGCUUCAAGUUGCCGGAGGAUCCGGAGAGGAGACUGGAGUGGGUCCAGUUCCUCGCCGCGGUCAAUAAGCAGCGAUUUAAAGAGUCGUCCUGUACAGACAUCACAAUCUGCAGCGAACACUUUGAAGACGCCUGUUUGGACCACCGAUCAGCGACCCACCCACGUGGGACUGGAAAGGUCCAGCUCACGUUGAACCCCGGCGCUGUCCCAUCACUGGGUCUGCAGCCGGAAGAGGCUGAGGAGAGCCCGACGUGUGUGGAGCCUGAGGAAACCAAAGAAGUUGCUUGUCUGCGUGAUCAACUUAAAACAUGUGAUGGCCCUACUGCCUUUUCUGAAGAGUCGAUGGCUGUCCAAGGAAGCCCCGUCCCAAGAGGCGUCUCGUGUUCAACGGAAGCUUCAAAUGCUUUGGGAUCUGGCCAGAUGCGACCAAAACAUAUAGAUUUUGAUUUGAUCGGAGAAAAAGCUGCACUCCUGCAGAUGAAAGGGAAGUACGUCGUGAAUGAAACACGCCUCCUCCAGCUGUUCAGCCACAAGUGCCCGUCGUGCGGCUCUAACGUGAAGAUGGAGAAGGUCACCUGUGGGUUGCUCAUCGUCUUGAACCAGCAGUGUCUUCAGUGUGACUACAGAAACCACUGGAAAAGCCAAAUCAAUGCCAGUGUCCCAGGAGCUGAGGAUCAACGGCUGACAGAAGUAGAAGAAGUAACUCCAGAGACCCAACAGGCCGUGCCAACUGGGGUCACAGGGGUCCAUCAGAUUGUCGCUGUUAUUGAUGAGCAGAGCGAGCUGAUCGAUGAGUCGAGUGAUCCGGGGGACUUGGAUUCAGAAGAGGACUGGAAGCCGCUGAAUGGCUCUACUCAUGUGAGAGUGCUAAUAAAGAAAACUGAGGAGGAAACCGAAGAUGAAGAUGAAGAGGAGGACGAAGACGACGACGACGAGGAUGAAGAGGAGGAGGAGGAGGAGGAGGAGGAAGAAGAAGAAGAAGAUGGGGAUUAUCCUCCACUUCCUGUCAAACACAGUCGCCUCUGCACAGAGUGCGGGGUGCUCUACAAUAAACAGAGGCCUCACACAUGCGAGCACAAAGUGAAACCCUACUCUUGCAACAUUUGCGGGAAGAGGUGCGUGAGCGAGAAAGCCUUGAUUACUCACAGCAGAAUCCACGACGAAAACUACGAGUAUCAGUGCAAAUACUGUCACGUUACAUUCAAAACGAAGGUGGACAAAAUCACCCACGAGCAGAUCCACAUAACUCAAGGAAAACCCUACAAAUGUCCCGACUGUUUGGAGACGUUCGCCACAAAUAAGGAACGCAGGAUCCACCUGGAGGAUCACAGAGGCCCCCAACAGUUGAAAUGUCACAUCUGCGGGAUCGACUUCCUGUGGCCCCUUUCCCUCCAGAGACACUUGGCUGUGCACACAGGAGACCGGCCGUUCAAGUGUUCAGUGUGCCAACGUGGCUUCAAGCAGGCGGGCCACCUGAAAUCCCACAUGCGCCUGCACACAGGGGAGAGGCCUUUUAAGUGUCCGCAUUGUGACAAAUGCUUCAAUCACAACGUGAGCUUGAAGAGUCACGUCCAGCGCUACCACUCCUCGGGCUCUGGGCGUGAGCGGAAGAAAGAAAAGGUCGGCAAAAGGGCGAGUGACGCUGGCGAUGCUCAGGAUGACGAGAACCAAAGAGGUGCCGAUUCAGGGCUCGACAAUGUGGAGGAUGAACAGGACACCGAAGAGGAGGCGCAGAGGGGGAUAAUAUAUAGACCGAAAAAGAAAAGCACAGGCAGGCCCAUAGGAAGGCCUAAGCGCAAUGAACCGGACAACUCGGCGGAAGGCCAGUCUUCGGAUGCCAAGUCUGGGAAACUGCUGGCACAGAGGUCCAAGAGAACACAGCGCAGAGGCGAAGAAGGUGAGGCCAAACCAAGUGACAGCGGCACGUCUUUUGAGUCGGCAGAGGAGGAAGAGGAGGGCUGCGAGAAGGCGACGAAGAGCACGGCGAGAUCAAGGGGACCGAACUAUUCUGACAGUGACUGUGAUUUUGACCCAGAAGAAAGAAAGAGAAAGAGGUAAAAUCGGAGCGGAGUAAUGUGGGUGCUCCUGCGGCCAAAGGGGGAACACGUCCAACAGAUCAGAGGCCGGGAUGCGCCCGAUACCAGACCCCGCACAUACCGCCGCCCGCCAGCAGAGGGCGCGCGCGCCGUUAGCUUCGGACUGUUUGGGGCUUCUGAGACGGGAGUCCACGCCGAGCUCCGGCUCCUAUUCCUCGCCAACAUCACGCUGCUCGGCCCGCGUAUUUAAGUGAAACGCUCCGCGACCGGAACAGGAUGUGCUCCGUCCUCGGGUGUGAUUCGGAGCGUCACGGUGCGCGACGUUAUCAAGUUACCGGCGCUGGACCGACAUCGCCAUUUCUUAAACCUGACCCCCGCUGGCACGGUCCAGCUGAAGUCCAGUGCUGCCCCGUCACUGUGCGUCAAGCCAGAGCCCGACGAGCCUGAGGCGAGUCAGGUGAGGCCAGAAUGUUGUCACCAGAUGAGACCUGCAGCAGUGUCACGGACGUGUCCAUGACGGCCUCUGUUAUUGAUGAGGAGAGUGACUCCAUGGAUGCAACGGGGGAAUCAGACGAGCACCGGCACCCAGAGGAGGAGCUCUCACUGGUGAACGAGAAUUAUGGUGAAUCCGAGUAGGAAACUAAAGAUGAAGAGGAUGAUUGAGA
Molecule: RNA transcript, 2887 nt
Organism: Cyclopterus lumpus (lumpfish)
Lineage: Eukaryota; Metazoa; Chordata; Actinopteri; Perciformes; Cyclopteridae
Gene name: myoneurin-like
Exons: 7
Source: RefSeq, a predicted model, not a curated record